AGACAGGAAGUUUCAUGCCCUUCAGCAGAUCUCUAAGGAUAUUUUCCAUUGCAGUAUACUGGUGUGGCUGAAGAGGACUUGGAGACAGUCUUAGUUCUCAGACAGUUGCACUUGGUCUGAAUGUUGGACAGUGGUAGUACUAUUAUCAGAAAUGUAAUGAUUUGGAGCUAUAAAUGAUGGAAGAUUUAUGUACAGAUUUCAGUAGAGGUGGCAUCCAGGGAAACUUCCUUGAUGUCCUGCACAGAUGUCACUGCUGACUCAUUUAGGUUUAGAGUUUUCCAUAAGAAGUGGUUCUUCAGAACGGGCUUGGAUUUGUUCCUCCGUAUCUGCCUCUUGCCUCCUGCAUUUUAGAAGGUUUGAAAACCACUGCCAGGUGUUUACAGAUUCUGCAUGCAGAAGACUAAAAGGGACUGUUUACAGAACGGUAUACAAACACUGGCUGUAAAUGAUAUGCCACAAAGCUGUGGUGAUAAUGCUGUUUUAAAAUGUGUACCAGUGGGGACACAGAGCUAAUUUCCAUAACUACUGCAGCAUCUUAUGCCUCUGAGAGGAAAUAGUACUACAAAGUUACUGUUAUGGAAUAUAAAGUGGAAACUACUUAUUAAGU
RNAcentral lists this long non-coding RNA (607 nucleotides) under Coturnix japonica (Japanese quail). RNAcentral describes it as "lncRNA (ENSCJPG00005018347.1)". The record is from RNAcentral. Lineage: Eukaryota; Metazoa; Chordata; Aves; Galliformes; Phasianidae.